Molecule: ribosomal RNA, 466 nt
Filed under: uncultured bacterium
Lineage: Bacteria
Description: partial 16S ribosomal RNA
Rfam family: Bacterial small subunit ribosomal RNA
Source: RNAcentral
GACGAACGCUGGCGGCGUGCUUAACACAUGCAAGUCGUGCGGUAAGGCCCUUUCGGGGGUACACGAGCGGCGAACGGGUGAGUAACACGUGAGCAACAUGCCCUUCACUUUGGGAUAACUGCCGGAAACGGUGGCUAAUACCGGAUAUGAAUUCCUCAAGAAUGUGGGGUGGUGGAAAGCCUUCGGGUGGUGGGGGAUGGGCUCGCGGUCUAUCAGCUUGUUGGUGGGGUGAUGGCCUACCAAGGCUUCGACGGGUAGCCGGCCUGAGAGGGUGACCGGCCACACUGGGACUGAGACACGGCCCAGACUCCUACGGGAGGCAGCAGUGGGGAAUAUUGGACAAUGGGCGAAAGCCUGAUCCAGCAACGCCGCGUGAGGGAUGACGGCCUUCGGGUUGUAAACCUCUUUCGCCUGCGACGAAGCGAGAGUGACGGUAGCAGGUAAAGAAGCACCGGCCAACUACGUG